UUUAUCCAUCGGACCAGAUCCCAGGGAAUCAGUUUCCAAUUUAAAUUAAACCGUUUGGUUCAUUUUUGUGAAAAAUCGGUUCGGAGUCAUGGUGGCCAGUAGAAUCAGGGUAACCAACUAAAAACCAUGAUUCAUCCGGAUUAACCUAUUGAGGUUAAUCCGGAAUCGAGUCACGAUUCCGGAGGUUCGUAUAAAAGCGAUGGAUUCAAGUUGAAUCCAUUUCCACAUCAUCCUGCGAUUCUCCCGGUGAAGUCCGACCGAGGUUCAGCGACGGUGAAGCAACAGCUCGCAUCUGAGAAGAACACCUAAAACCGAGUUGAUUGAAGGUUGUAACUUCAUAUCUAGGGUUUACCCUAUUUCCAAAUCAGACGAUCGACUCCAAGGUUUGAAGAACUAGAAUCGAAGUUUGAUUUAAGAUGACAUCGAAUAUAUCCGCUUGUGAUAUUGCAAAGUGUGAGAACUGUGGGAAAGGUUGCUCAGUUUUCACUUCUAAGUCAGGGUCACAUGUUGGAAGGAAAUUUUUUAAAUGUUCAAUGAAUUGUCACUUCUUCAUGUGGGUUGACCAUCUUAAGAUGUGUGACUGUGGGAACGGUCAAUGUAAGGUCAGAACUGCGAAAACAAGUGCGAAUUAUGGUCGAUAUUUUUGGUGCUGUCCACAAUCAACUGGGGUUGAAAACAAAGGUUGUGGAAUGUUUGAAUGGAUAUCAAGUUCAAACCCAAGUUGUGAUACUUACCAGACUCCACCUAGGUCCAUAUGCUCAGAAACAUCAACUUCAUCAUCUCCUUCCCCUUCAUCAGACUAUAUCAAAGGAUACUUGAACGGUGCAAUAAAAGAAUCUGAGGGUCAUAUGAGGAUGUUGAGAGAUGUUCUUGACGUAGUCAAGAAGCUUGAUUUAAACAAAAAUGUAUGAUGAACUUUUUUGGAAUUUUUUAGAACAUACUAAAGU
Long non-coding RNA from Macadamia integrifolia, 947 nucleotides. RefSeq lists it as uncharacterized. The record is from RefSeq and is a predicted model, not a curated record. The transcript is spliced from 5 exons. Lineage: Eukaryota; Viridiplantae; Streptophyta; Magnoliopsida; Proteales; Proteaceae.